RNAcentral lists this ribosomal RNA (253 nucleotides) under uncultured bacterium. RNAcentral describes it as "partial 16S ribosomal RNA". It matches the Rfam family "Bacterial small subunit ribosomal RNA", at positions 524 to 776 of the family's 1533-position model. The record is from RNAcentral.
UACGUAGGGACCAAGCGUUGUUCGGAUUUACUGGGCGUAAAGGGCGCGUAGGCGGCAUGACAAGUCACUUGUGAAAUCUCUGGGCUUAACCCAGAACGGCCAAGUGAUACUGUCGCGCUAGAGUGCGGAAGGGGCAAUCGGAAUUCUCGGUGUAGCGGUGAAAUGCGUAGAUAUCGAGAGGAACACCUGCGGCGAAGGCGGGUUGCUGGGCCGACACUGACGCUGAUGCGCGAAAGCCAGGGGAGCAAACGGG